This is a long non-coding RNA of Musa acuminata AAA Group (dessert banana), 743 nucleotides long. RefSeq lists it as uncharacterized. The record is from RefSeq and is a predicted model, not a curated record. Lineage: Eukaryota; Viridiplantae; Streptophyta; Magnoliopsida; Zingiberales; Musaceae. The transcript is spliced from 2 exons.
GAUGAUGGACUUUCCCAAACUUUGGAAUCCUUGUUGAACUGAGCUGAAGUCUUCUGCCUGCCUAAGUAGGCUGCAAGAAUUCUGGGAAGUAUUGGUCUCCUCGCCAUUGUUCUUCUUUUGUUCAUCACGCAUCUUACUUUUUCCUCGACAAUGACCUUUGCGGACUGGCUUGUAGCUCAAGACUUUUUCCUGAGAACAACUACUUUAGUGCUGUCGCAGCGGAUGCGAUCGAGGGAAUAAAGUGUUCCCCAGUCAUUCGAGAACAAGUUCUUCCUCAUCUCUGUCUACAAAAGGGAACGCCAUGGGAGGAGCUCGGCAGCUAGCGUCGAUCGAGGACUCCUUGGAGGGGUGGGUGGAAGAGGAGAAGCAACCUCGGAAAUGUCGUACAGGAGCCAGCAGCAGCAGCAGAACUACGCGAGGCUGCACGGCGAGGACUACAUGAGCUACGUCGCCAGGAUCGAGAAGACGACGAGCAUGGUCGAAGGGCCGCACUUCCCCAACCUUCACGCCAUUUACAAGCACAAGGAGGGGAACGAGGAGGAGGAGGAGAAGUGCCAAGUCGGGCGCUUCGGCAGGGCGGUACACCUGGAGAGGUUCGACGACGGCAAGCGCGCCACCAUCAAAGCAACCUGAGAGUACCAUGCAUGGCUUGGAGAUGAAACUAUAACGCUCUAUGUACUGUUGAUAUAUGCUCCGCUACUUCUCAAUAAAGGUUAACUAGCUAUUAAAGAUCUUAUGCUCCA